AUUGAACGCUGGCGGCAUGCCUUACACAUGCAAGUCGAACGGCAGCACGGGUGCUUGCACCUGGUGGCGAGUGGCGCACGGGUGAGUAAUACAUCGGAACAUGUCCUGUAGUGGGGGAUAGCCCGGCGAAAGCCGGAUUAAUACCGCAUACUAUCUACGGAUGAAAGCGGGGGACCUUCGGGCCUCGCGCUAUAGGGUUGGCCGAUGGCUGAUUAGCUAGUUGGUGGGGUAAAGGCCUACCAAGGCGACGAUCAGUAGCUGGUCUGAGAGGACGACCAGCCACACUGGGACUGAGACACGGCCCAGACUCCUACGGGAGGCAGCAGUGGGGAAUUUUGGACAAUGGGCGAAAGCCUGAUCCAGCAAUGCCGCGUGUGUGAAGAAGGCCUUCGGGUUGUAAAGCACUUUUGUCCGGAAAGAAAUCCUUGGCCCUAAUACGGUCGGGGGAUGACGGUACCGGAAGAAUAAGCACCGGCUAACUACGUG
RNAcentral lists this ribosomal RNA (486 nucleotides) under uncultured bacterium. RNAcentral's name for it is "partial 16S ribosomal RNA". It matches the Rfam family "Bacterial small subunit ribosomal RNA", at positions 30 to 507 of the family's 1533-position model. The record is from RNAcentral.